Molecule: ribosomal RNA, 1179 nt
Filed under: Triticum aestivum (bread wheat)
Lineage: Eukaryota; Viridiplantae; Streptophyta; Magnoliopsida; Poales; Poaceae
Description: partial small subunit ribosomal RNA
Source: RNAcentral
AUGGCCUCCGCCUCUGUUUCCCUCUCCUCCCUCGCUUCCUCCGCCGCCGCCGCCGCCGCGAUCUCCUCCUCCCCCGGCUGUCCUCCUUCCAAACCCUUUCACGAUCCAAAACCUCUUCACCUUUCCGUCAGACUAUUCCCCCGUUUCGCCAAACCUCAGCCGCUCUCCUGCUCUGGGCCGCACGCCCCUCACGCCGCCACCGGCGACGGAUCGGGUGCCGGGAACCGUGGGGACGACUCGGGAGGAAACGGAGGAAAAGAUGGAGGUGGAAACGAUGGCGACGGCGGCGACGACGACUACGAGGAGGCCGAGUUCGGGCCGCUGCUCGGCUUCAGCGAGGUGGCGCGCCUCGCGGCCGCCCGCGGCGUCAAGCUCCCGGCCGACAUGAUUGAAGCGGCCAGGGACGCCGGCAUCCGGGAAGUGAUUUUGCUCCGAUACUUCGAUUUGCAGGCCGCACCGUGGCCACUCGCCGCGAUGAUCCGGGCCUUCUCAGUGCUCCGCAACAGAAUGCUCGCCGAUCCGUCGUUUCUCUUCAAAGUUGGCAUCGAGGUUGUGAUCGACUCCUGCUGUGCAACACUUGCGGAGGUGCAGAAGAGGGGGGAGGAUUUUUGGGCAGAGUUUGAGUUAUAUGCUGCUGACAUUUUGAUCGGGAUUGUUGUUGAUAUCGCCCUAGUUGGGAUGUUGGCUCCAUAUGUUAGAUUGGGAAAGGCGUCUUCGUCAACGGGGCUGUUGGGGAGGUUCAACCGAAUGGCUGGAGCUUUGCCAAGCAGUGUUUUUGAAGCUGAAAGGCCAGGCUGCAGAUUUACAGUCCAACAAAGAAUUGGGACGUACUUCUAUAAGGGUGUUUUGUAUGGCUCAGUUGGAUUUGUCUGUGGUAUUAUCGGUCAGGGAAUUUGCAAUAUGAUAAUGAAUGCCAAGAGGAGUGUCAAAAAAACAGAUGAAGAUAUUCCUGUUCCACCACUUAUUAAAAGUGCUGCUCUUUGGGGUGUAUUCCUUGCUGUAUCAUCUAAUACACGCUAUCAGAUCAUCAAUGGUCUGGAGCGAGUAGUUGAGGCAUCACCAGUUGCAAAGGGUGCCCCUCUUGUUGCAUUGGCUUUCACCGUUGGUGUUCGCUUUGCCAAUAACAUCUAUGGUGGUAUGCAGUUUAUCGACUGGGCUCGAUGGAGUGGUGUCCAGUAA